RNAcentral lists this ribosomal RNA (429 nucleotides) under Chloroflexota bacterium. Its description in RNAcentral is "Chloroflexi bacterium partial 16S ribosomal RNA". It matches the Rfam family "Bacterial small subunit ribosomal RNA", at positions 355 to 776 of the family's 1533-position model. The record is from RNAcentral. Lineage: Bacteria; Bacillati; Chloroflexota.
UGGGGAAUAUUGCACAAUGGGCGCAAGCCUGAUGCAGCCAUGCCGCGUGUUUGAAGAAGGCCUUCGGGUUGUAAAGUACUUUCAGUCGGGAGGAAGGUGGUAAGGUUAAUAACCUUAUCAAUUGACGUUACCGACAGAAGAAGCACCGGCUAACUCCGUGCCAGCAGCCGCGGUAAUACGGAGGGUGCAAGCGUUAAUCGGAAUUACUGGGCGUAAAGCGCACGCAGGCGGUUGAUUGAGUCAGAUGUGAAAUCCCCGGGCUUAACCCGGGAAUUGCAUCUGAUACUGGUCAGCUAGAGUCUUGUAGAGGGGGGUAGAAUUCCAUGUGUAGCGGUGAAAUGCGUAGAGAUGUGGAGGAAUACCGGUGGCGAAGGCGGCCCCCUGGACAAAGACUGACGCUCAGGUGCGAAAGCGUGGGGAGCAAACAGG